Long non-coding RNA from Neltuma alba, 186 nucleotides. RefSeq lists it as uncharacterized. The transcript has 3 exons. NCBI's taxonomy places the organism in Eukaryota, Viridiplantae, Streptophyta, Magnoliopsida, Fabales, Fabaceae. The record is from RefSeq and is a predicted model, not a curated record.
CUCCACCAAAAUUCCAAUUCGGUUCAGCCAUGAAGAACAAUGAAGAUGGAAUCUGCAGGAGUGAUUUUGCCGUGAAGCUAUGGUCCUUCGUUCUCUCUUCCUCGCCGCUGGUCUCUUCAAUUCACGCCACCUCCAGCUCGUGAGUUCCUCCCGCCGCUUGCGUCUUGCCUUCCUGAAUGAUAGGUU